UGAGCCCUACGGGGCAGCAGUGAGGAAUAUUGGUCAAUGGGCUUACGCCUGAACCAGCCAAGUCGCGUGAGGGAAGACUGCCCUAUGGGUUGUAAACCUCUUUUGUCAGGGAGCAACGCCGGCUACGUGUAGCCGGACUGAGAGUACCUGAAGAAAAAGCAUCGGCUAACUCCGUGCCAGCAGCCGCGGUAAUACGUAGGUGGCAAGCGUUGUCCGGAAUUACUGGGUGUAAAGGGAGCGCAGGCGGGAAGCCAAGUCAGCUGUGAAAACUACGGGCUUAACUUGUAGACUGCAGUUGAAACUGG
RNAcentral lists this ribosomal RNA (305 nucleotides) under uncultured bacterium. RNAcentral describes it as "bacterial SSU rRNA". It matches the Rfam family "Bacterial small subunit ribosomal RNA", at positions 333 to 636 of the family's 1533-position model. The record is from RNAcentral.